Molecule: ribosomal RNA, 427 nt
Filed under: uncultured bacterium
Lineage: Bacteria
Description: bacterial SSU rRNA
Rfam family: Bacterial small subunit ribosomal RNA
Source: RNAcentral
UGGGGAAUUUUGGACAAUGGGCGCAAGCCUGAUCCAGCAAUGCCGCGUGUGUGAAGAAGGCCUUCGGGUUGUAAAGCACUUUUGUCCGGAAAGAAAUCCGUCUGGCUAAUACCCGGACGGGAUGCCGGUACCGGAAGAAUAAGCUCCGGCUAACUACGUGCCAGCAGCCGCGGUAAUACGUCGGGUGCGAGCGUUAAUCUGAAUUACUGGGCGUAAAGCGUGCGCAGGCGGCUUUGUAAGACAGAUGUGAAAUCCCCGGGCUCAACCUGGGAACUGCAUUUGUGACUGCAAGGCUAGAGUGCGUCAGAGGGAGGUGGAAUUCCGCGUGUAGCAGUGAAAUGCGUAGAGAUGCGGAGGAACACCGAUGGCGAAGGCAGCCUCCUGGGAUGACACUGACGCUCAUGCACGAAAGCGUGGGGAGCAAACA